RNAcentral lists this ribosomal RNA (482 nucleotides) under uncultured bacterium. RNAcentral's name for it is "partial 16S ribosomal RNA". It matches the Rfam family "Bacterial small subunit ribosomal RNA", at positions 29 to 523 of the family's 1533-position model. The record is from RNAcentral.
AACGAACGCUGGCGGCGUGCUUAACACAUGCAAGUCGAACGGUGAAGCCGAGCUUGCUCUGUGGAUCAGUGGCGAACGGGUGAGUAACACGUGAGCAACCUGCCCCGGACUCUGGGAUAAGCGCUGGAAACGGCGUCUAAUACCGGAUACGAGAUUCCACCGCAUGGUGAGUUUCUGGAAAGAACUUCGGUCCAGGAUGAGCUCGCGGCCUAUCAGCUAGUUGGUGAGGUAACGGCUCACCAAGGCGACGACGGGUAGCCGGCCUGAGAGGGGGACCGGCCACACUGGGACUGAGACACGGCCCAGACUCCUACGGGAGGCAGCAGUGGGGAAUAUUGCACAAUGGGCGCAAGCCUGAUGCAGCAACGCCGCGUGAGGGACGACGGCCUUCGGGUUGUAAACCUCUUUUAGCAGGGAAGAAGCGAAAGUGACGGUACCUGCAGAAAAAGCACCGGCUAACUACGUGCCAGCCGCCGCUGUAA